This 97-nucleotide small RNA is filed under the name Marmota monax (woodchuck). Lineage: Eukaryota; Metazoa; Chordata; Mammalia; Rodentia; Sciuridae. The record is from RNAcentral.
GCCGGGUGUGGUGGUGCAUGCCUGUAAUCCCAGCCGCUCAGGAGGCUGAGGCAGGAGGAUCAAGAGUUCAAAGCAAUUUAGUGAGACCCUGUAUCUA